Molecule: long non-coding RNA, 1711 nt
Organism: Ictalurus punctatus (channel catfish)
Lineage: Eukaryota; Metazoa; Chordata; Actinopteri; Siluriformes; Ictaluridae
Source: Ensembl
GUGGGUUUGAGCAGGAUGUGGAGUUUGGGGAUACGGGGCGUCUCGGUGACUGUCAUGGUGAGAUGAUCUGUUUCUGUUUUUUCUCAUUAUACACACACUCACACACACACACUCUCUCUCUCACACACACACACACACACACACACACACACACACACAGGAGGAAUAUGUUUCCGGUGAUUUAUUUCAUUUCUAGUCGUCUGUCUGAGCGAUAGAGUUUUCAGUUUUGAUUUGAUUUUAUUUUCAGCUGAUUUUCUUGUUCCUUUAAUUCCUGUAGAGUUUUUGGCUACAGCUUCAGCACCAGGUUUCAAAUCAUAUGGCGACGCAACUUCUGGUUAGUUUCCUUUUUACUCAAACGAUUUCCUUUCCUUCGGUUCAGCGUUUCUCUUUCACCAUCUUCAUCACCAUCAGUCUUCAUCACCAUCAGUCUUCAUCACUAUCAGUCUUCAUCAUCAAGAUUAAUCCGUCUCUAAACAAUCGUUUUCAUCUUCGUCUCGUCUGCAUGUUUACAGUAGACAUGUGCUGAAAAUCUCUUGUUCACUCUCAUGUUAUUAUCACACACACACACAUACACACACGUUAUAACGUUAAAUUAUUGUGUUUGUGACUCAGUAUCAGCAGAUUAAUAUUAAUGAGCGUUAUGAAGGAGGUAAAUGAACACUCGGUUUGUUGUAGGUUUCAGGUGUUUGCUUCUGAUGAUUUAUUAUCAUUCAGGUUUCAGGUGUUCGGUGGUGAUGAGUCAUUAUCAUUCAGGUUUCAGGUGUUCGGUGGUGAUGAGUCAUUAUCAUUCAGGUUUCAGGUGUUCGGUGGUGAUGAGUCAUUAUCAUUCAGGUUUCAGGUGUUCGGUGGUGAUGAGUCAUUAUCAUUCAGGUUUCAGGUGUUUGGUGGUGAUGAGUCAUUAUCAUUCAGGUUUCAGGUGUUUGGUUCUGAUGAGUCAUUAUCAUUCAGCGUUCACCUCGACACUGAACACCGCUACAGGAAGUGAAGAGAGGCUUUUUCUCACCGCACUGUUCUUGGUGUUCAGUAUAAAUGUGCUGGUAGUUAAUUAGAUGUGUUGGUGAGUGUGAUGUUGAGAAGUUUAUACUAAUCACUGUAUGGAAGUUUUAUAUCAGCACUUGUCUAAUGAACAGAUGAGUGUUUCUCAUGUUUCUCAUGUUUCUCAUGUUUCUCAUGUUUCAGCCUGAAAUUUUACCACAAUAUCAUUCCUUCAUUUUUCACUAACACAGUGUCACACUCAUUUAUUCAUUCAUUCACUCAUUUAUUUAUUUAUUUACUUAUUUAUUUAUUUUUGCUUAGUUUUUCAAUCAGAAUGUUUUUUAUUGUUGAUGAAGUUUGGAGUUUACAGUUUGGGGUGAAGCAGAAAAUACAGGACGCGGUCAAACGCUGAUGCACUAACGCUUCUGUACGUUCACGUUUAUAUACGCGUACGCAAGACUGAGUGUGUAUCCUCACUGUACAGUCUACAGCAACGCUCUACACAACAACACUACACAACACGCUCUACACAACAACACUACACAACAACACUACACAACAACGCUCUACACAACAACACUAUACAACAACACUACACAACACGCUCUACACAACAACACUAUACAACAACACUACACAACAACACUACACAACACGCUCUACACAACAACACUAUACAACAACACUACACAACAACACUACACAACACGCUCUACACAACAACACUACACAACAC